AAGAAUUGUGAGACCCGUAUUGAAAAGAUAAGUGCCACAGUAAUUCAGUAUUAUUAAAAAAGUAAUUCGGUAUUAUUUGAUUUGUAAUAAAAGACAUGUUAAGGGAGACAUAUCUCGUGUAGUUUUAUUAUCUCGAGACUUUAGAUAAUACCCCUUUUUUAACAUGGGGACACAUAGGUACCGGGACACAUAGGUACCGGGACACAUAGGUAUGACCCCUUUGGCACCACAGAUCUAUGCCAUUUUCUCCCUGUCUGUCCCUGUGACAACAUUUAUAGUAAUAUUAUGGUUUUCAUUUACACAGGUGUUUGCGUGAAUUAUUGACAUAGUACUUGCUGUGAAAGGCCAACCUAUUGGCUACACUGACAUUCACAACAACACACAUGAGUCACCAGCUUCCUACAUACAUGUCCCAUUACCAACUCAAUCAUACACACCUGGCAUCUACUCUCACUCCACAUACAGUACACUUGAAGACACCAAAGAUACAUUUGCACAAUAUAAAUCACCAUAUGAACAAGACAAUUCAAAGGCUAUGCGAGACCUCCUGAAGCGUGUAGCUACUCUCGAGGCUGAGGUAGCUGAAUUAAAAAGAGCAAGAAAUGCUGAUGAAACGACAUCGACGUUAGAUAUAACAACUGUCAACGGCUGUCCCACGUUCAAUGGGAAGACUAAAGCAGAGCUUCUUACAGCCGUUGAAAACCACAAGAAGCCGUCACAUGCUGUGAGGAUGCUGUUCUCAAUGAUUUUCACACCGAGAGUACUUGUGAGAUGUUCUCUCGUUGGUGUGGACACCAAAAAAAAUGGAAAUUCUGUCGGUCUCCCGCAGGAAAAGAAAUCUGUCAUUGAAGGUGAGCUUAAAAUAAUAUGUCACUUUUGUCAUUGUUUUGUGAGUGGUGCACACUGUGAUCUAAUCUGACCAUUCUCGUAGAGGACUGUGUAAUCACAACAAAAAGUUAGGUUCAAAGGCAGUGUGAGUUUCGGCAAUCUAACCAGGCGCUGUGCCUGGUCUUAGUGAACUGGGCAGUGUGCCUGGUCAGAUUAGGAAUUGUGGGGAAGGCUGGAGAGGUUCUAUAGGUGCCAAUGAAUGUGAAACUAACCUAAAGACCAUUAUGAGUGUGACAACCUUUAGGGUUUUUUAGCGCCUUUAUAAAAGGUCCUUUAUUUUGGUGGUUACAAAGACAGUGUUCUCUGAGAUUACUGAGCUUAUCUUAUGGCACAGCGUAUGCCCUCUCUUCUUGUCAUUGUCUGUUGUCAAGGCAUGUUUUGUAACUAGUUGGAGCAUUCAACUUCAUA
Long non-coding RNA from Lineus longissimus, 1296 nucleotides. RefSeq lists it as uncharacterized. The transcript is spliced from 3 exons. The record is from RefSeq and is a predicted model, not a curated record. NCBI's taxonomy places the organism in Eukaryota, Metazoa, Nemertea, Pilidiophora, Heteronemertea, Lineidae.